RNAcentral lists this ribosomal RNA (211 nucleotides) under uncultured bacterium. RNAcentral's name for it is "partial 16S ribosomal RNA". It matches the Rfam family "Bacterial small subunit ribosomal RNA", at positions 114 to 334 of the family's 1533-position model. The record is from RNAcentral.
CGCGUAGGGAUUUGUCGUUGGGUGGGGGACAACCAUGGGAAACUGUGGCUAAUACCGCAUGACGCCUAUGGGCCAAAGGUCCAGCGAUGGACCGCCUGAUGAGGAGCCUGCGUCCGAUUAGUUAGUUGGUUGGGUAAUGGCUGACCAAGGCGAUGAUCGGUAGCUGGUCUGAGAGGAUGAUCAGCCACACUGGGACUGAGACACGGCCCAG